Molecule: ribosomal RNA, 119 nt
Filed under: Pteropus alecto (black flying fox)
Lineage: Eukaryota; Metazoa; Chordata; Mammalia; Chiroptera; Pteropodidae
Also listed under: 1 other name
Source: RNAcentral
AUCUACGGCCAUGCCACCCUGAACAUGCCUGAUCCUGUCUGAUCUUGGAAGCUAAGCAGGGUCGGGCCUAGUUAGUACUUGGAUGGGAGACCACCUAGGAAGACUGGGUGCUUUCGGCG